AGUGAACGCUGGCGGUAGGCCUAACACAUGCAAGUCGAACGGCAGCACAGAAAGAGCUUGCUCUUACGGGUGGCGAGUGGCGGACGGGUGAGGAAUACAUCGGAAUCUACUUUUUCGUGGGGGAGAACGUAGGGAAACUUACGCUAAUACCGCAUACGACCUACGGGGGAAAGCAGGGGAUCUUCGGACCUUGCGCGAUUGAAUGAGCCGAUGUCGGAUUAGCUAGUUGGCGGGGUAAAGGCCCACCAAGGCGACGAUCCGUAGCUGGUCUGAGAGGAUGAUCAGCCACACUGGAACUGAGACACGGUCCAGACUCCUACGGGAGGCAGCAGUGGGGAAUAUUGGACAAUGGGCGCAAGCCUGAUCCAGCCAUACCGCGUGGGUGAAGAAGGCCUUCGGGUUGUAAAGCCCUUUUGUUGGGAAAGAAAAGCAGCAGGUUAAUACCCCGCUGUUCUGACGGUACCCAAAGAAUAAGCACCGGCUAACUUCGUG
This 492-nucleotide ribosomal RNA is filed under the name uncultured bacterium. Its description in RNAcentral is "partial 16S ribosomal RNA". It matches the Rfam family "Bacterial small subunit ribosomal RNA", at positions 29 to 507 of the family's 1533-position model. The record is from RNAcentral.